This 94-nucleotide small nucleolar RNA is filed under the name Oryza punctata. Its description in RNAcentral is "snoRNA snoZ256". It matches the Rfam family "Small nucleolar RNA Z256". Rfam says of the family: Z256 is a member of the C/D class of snoRNA which contain the C (UGAUGA) and D (CUGA) box motifs. The record is from Rfam by way of RNAcentral. Lineage: Eukaryota; Viridiplantae; Streptophyta; Magnoliopsida; Poales; Poaceae.
ACCUCCCCAUCAUGCUGACUUCCGAAACUCGGGCCUGGCUCACUGGUCUCCCCGAGCACACCAUCUACAGCUGGGCUGAGCUCAAGGCUCACUU